GACGAACGCUGGCGGCGUGCCUAAUACAUGCAAGUAGAACGCUGAAGGAGGAGCUUGCUUCUCUGGAUGAGUUGCGAACGGGUGAGUAACGCGUAGGUAACCUGCCUGGUAGCGGGGGAUAACUAUUGGAAACGAUAGCUAAUACCGCAUAAGAUUGACUAUUGCAUGAUAGUCAGUUAAAAGGUGCAAUUGCAUCACUACCAGAUGGACCUGCGUUGUAUUAGCUAGUUGGUGGGGUAACGGCUCACCAAGGCGACGAUACAUAGCCGACCUGAGAGGGUGAUCGGCCACACUGGGACUGAGACACGGCCCAGAGUCCUACGGGAGGCAGCAGUAGGGAAUCUUCGGCAAUGGACGGAAGUCUGACCGAGCAACGCCGCGUGAGUGAAGAAGGUUUUCGGAUCGUAAAGCUCUGUUGUAAGAGAAGAACGAGUGUGAGAGUGGAAAGUUCACACUGUGACGGUAUCUUACCAGAAAGGGACGGCUAACUACGUG
RNAcentral lists this ribosomal RNA (495 nucleotides) under uncultured bacterium. RNAcentral's name for it is "partial 16S ribosomal RNA". It matches the Rfam family "Bacterial small subunit ribosomal RNA", at positions 28 to 507 of the family's 1533-position model. The record is from RNAcentral.